GAUGAACGCUGGCGGCGUGCCUAAUACAUGCAAGUCGAGCGAACAGACGAGGAGCUUGCUCCUCUGACGUUAGCGGCGGACGGGUGAGUAACACGUGGAUAACCUACCUAUAAGACUGGGAUAACUUCGGGAAACCGGAGCUAAUACCGGAUAAUAUAUUGAACCGCAUGGUUCAAUAGUGAAAGACGGUUUUGCUGUCACUUAUAGAUGGAUCCGCGCCGCAUUAGCUAGUUGGUAUGGUAACGGCUUACCAAGGCAACGAUGCGUAGCCGACCUGAGAGGGUGAUCGGCCACACUGGAACUGAGACACGGUCCAGACUCCUACGGGAGGCAGCAGUAGGGAAUCUUCCGCAAUGGGCGAAAGCCUGACGGAGCAACGCCGCGUGAGUGAUGAAGGUCUUCGGAUCGUAAAACUCUGUUAUUAGGGAAGAACAAAUGUGUAAGUAACUAUGCACGUCUUGACAGUACCUAAUCAGAAAGCCACGGCUAACUACGUG
RNAcentral lists this ribosomal RNA (497 nucleotides) under uncultured bacterium. RNAcentral's name for it is "partial 16S ribosomal RNA". It matches the Rfam family "Bacterial small subunit ribosomal RNA", at positions 28 to 507 of the family's 1533-position model. The record is from RNAcentral.